RNAcentral lists this ribosomal RNA (492 nucleotides) under uncultured bacterium. RNAcentral's name for it is "partial 16S ribosomal RNA". It matches the Rfam family "Bacterial small subunit ribosomal RNA", at positions 29 to 507 of the family's 1533-position model. The record is from RNAcentral.
AGUGAACGCUGGCGGUAGGCCUAACACAUGCAAGUCGAACGGCAGCACAGUAAGAGCUUGCUCUUACGGGUGGCGAGUGGCGGACGGGUGAGGAAUACAUCGGAAUCUACUUUUUCGUGGGGGAUAACGUAGGGAAACUUACGCUAAUACCGCAUACGGCCUACGGGUGAAAGCAGGGGAUCUUCGGACCUUGCGCGAUUGAAUGAGCCGAUGUCGGAUUAGCUAGUUGGCGGGGCAAAGGCCCACCAAGGCGACGAUCCGUAGCUGGUCUGAGAGGAUGAUCAGCCACACUGGAACUGAGACACGGUCCAGACUCCUACGGGAGGCAGCAGUGGGGAAUAUUGGACAAUGGGCGCAAGCCUGAUCCAGCCAUACCGCGUGGGUGAAGAAGGCCUUCGGGUUGUAAAGCCCUUUUGUUGGGAAAGAAAAGCAGCAGGUUAAUACCCCGCUGUUCUGACGGUACCCAAAGAAUAAGCACCGGCUAACUUCGUG